AGUGAACGCUGGCGGUAGGCCUAACACAUGCAAGUCGAACGGCAGCACAGUAAGAGCUUGCUCUUACGGGUGGCGAGUGGCGGACGGGUGAGGAAUACAUCGGAAUCUACUUUUUCGUGGGGGAUAACGUAGGGAAACUUACGCUAAUACCGCAUACGACCUACGGGUGAAAGCAGGGGACCUUCGGACCUUGCGCGAUUGAAUGAGCCGAUGUCGGAUUAGCUAGUUGGCGGGGUAAAGGCCCACCAAGGCGACGAUCCGUAGCUGGUCUGAGAGGAUGGUCAGCCACACUGGAACUGAGACACGGUCCAGACUCCUACGGGAGGCAGCAGUGGGGAAUAUUGGACAAUGGGCGCAAGCCUGAUCCAGCCAUACCGCGUGGGUGAAGAAGGCCUUCGGGUUGUAAAGCCCUUUUGUUGGGAAAGAAAAGCAGCAGGUUAAUACCCCGCUGUUCUGACGGUACCCAAAGAAUAAGCACCGGCUAACUUCGUG
RNAcentral lists this ribosomal RNA (492 nucleotides) under uncultured bacterium. RNAcentral's name for it is "partial 16S ribosomal RNA". It matches the Rfam family "Bacterial small subunit ribosomal RNA", at positions 29 to 507 of the family's 1533-position model. The record is from RNAcentral.